This 449-nucleotide ribosomal RNA is filed under the name uncultured bacterium. RNAcentral's name for it is "partial 16S ribosomal RNA". It matches the Rfam family "Bacterial small subunit ribosomal RNA", at positions 329 to 793 of the family's 1533-position model. The record is from RNAcentral.
UCCCAGACUCCUACGGGAGGCAGCAGUGGGGAAUAUUGCACAAUGGGGGGAACCCUGAUGCAGCGACGCCGCGUGGGUGAAGAAGUCAUUCGUGACGUAAAGCCCUAUCAGCAGGGAAGAAAAUGACGGUACCUGACUAAGAAGCCCCGGCUAACUACGUGCCAGCAGCCGCGGUAAUACGUAGGGGGCAAGCGUUAUCCGGAUUUACUGGGUGUAAAGGGAGCGUAGGCGGCAGUGCAAGUCAGAAGUGAAAGCCCGGGGCUCAACUCCGGGACUGCUCUGGAAACUGCGGCGCUGGAGUACGGGAGGGGCAGGCGGAAUUCCUGGUGUAGCGGUGAAAUGCGUAGAUAUCAGGAGGAACACCGGCGGCGGAGGCGGCCUGCUGGACCGUGACUGACGUUGAGGCUCGAGAGCGUGGGGAGCAAACAGGAUUAGAUACCCUUGUAUCG